AGCGAACGCUGGCGGCAGGCCUAACACAUGCAAGUCGAGCGCCCCGCAAGGGGAGCGGCAGACGGGAGAGUAACACGUGGGAACGUACCCUUCAGUUCGGAACAACCAAGGGAAACUUUGGCUAAUACCGAAUACGUCCGUAAGGAGAAAGAUUUAUCGCUGAAGGAUCGGCCCGCGUCUGAUUAGCUAGUUGGUGGGGUAACGGCCCACCAAGGCGACGAUCAGUAGCUGGUCUGAGAGAAUGAUCAGCCUCACUGGGACUGAGACACGGCCCAGACUCCUACGGGAGGCAGCAGUGGGGAAUAUUGGACAAUGGGCGCAAGCCUGAUCCAGCCAUGCCGCGUGGAUGAUGAAGGCCCUAGGGUUGUAAAGUCCUUUCGGCGGGGAAGAUAAUGACGGUACCCGCAGAAGAAGCCCCGGCUAACUUCGUGCCAGCCGCCGCAGUAA
RNAcentral lists this ribosomal RNA (447 nucleotides) under uncultured bacterium. Its description in RNAcentral is "partial 16S ribosomal RNA". It matches the Rfam family "Bacterial small subunit ribosomal RNA", at positions 29 to 523 of the family's 1533-position model. The record is from RNAcentral.